RNAcentral lists this small RNA (984 nucleotides) under Pan troglodytes (chimpanzee). Its description in RNAcentral is "processed transcript". Lineage: Eukaryota; Metazoa; Chordata; Mammalia; Primates; Hominidae. The record is from RNAcentral.
AAACGCGGAGCGCGCGCUCCCAGCGAAAGCAGCCCGGCAGGGGUCUGCGUUGGAGGAAGGGACUGCUCCGGUGAUAGAAUGCUGUGCGUCGGAAGGCUGGGCGGCUUGGGAGCCAGAGCAGCAGCUCUGCCGCCCCGCCGGGCGGGCCGGGGAAGCCUCGAAGCCGGGAUCCGGGCCCGAAGGGUCAGCACCAGCUGGUCUCCCGUGGGCGCCGCCUUCAAUGUCAAGCCCCAGGGCAGCCGCUUGGACCUGUUCGGCGAGCGCCGGGUGAGCGGCGCAGGAGGAGCUCCCCUCAGUCCCCGAGCUAAGCCGACCCCUGCUCCGCGCGGCCAGCAACAAUCAGGGCGAGAUUGUUUGGGCCUGGGAGGAGGCGAGCAGCGAACCCACCUUUUACAGUGGCGUCUUGUGUGCGCUCUCGAUGAGGGCAAGGUCACCUCUGCUUUGAGGGGCCGGGUUUAGUGGUCUCCUACCCAGAGUGUCGGGUCCGGGAACUGCUUCUGCAUGAGCCCCUUGCUCCACGUGAAUCUGAAUAGUUCGUUCUGGCAGUGGCGGUGAAUUCGUCCUGCCAGGACCCGCCCUCUGCAUAUACUUAGGCGCACCCCUGCUAAAGCCCUUUAGCUCCAGCGCUACAGUCCUGCCUUAAGAGGCCUAUCCCUGUGCGUUCACAGGCGGCAUCACAUGGUCUUUUUGCAAGGACACGGCUGCCUGGAGUCGAGUAAUGGGUCUUUUUGGAGUUCCUGAGCUGAGUGCCCCAGAAGGAUUUCAUAUUGCACAAGAAAAAGCCUUGAGAAAGACAGAAUUGCUUGUGGACCGUGCGUGUUCCGCCCCACCUGGGCCCCAGACCGUGCUGAUCUUCGAUGAGCUCUCGGAUUCCUUAUGCAGAGUGGCCGACUUGGCUGAUUUUGUGAAAAUCGCUCACCCUGAGCCAGCAUUCAGAGAAGCUGCGGAAGAAGCUUGUAGAAGUAUUGGCACCAUGGUAGAGAA